CCCUAGCCCUGAUAGUAGCGGUAUCCUUUUCAUAAGGUGAUUUUUCUUCAACUUAUGAAAAGAUACAAGCAGAUAGCAGGAAAGAGC
This 87-nucleotide small RNA is filed under the name Flavobacterium sp. 103. RNAcentral's name for it is "Flavo-1 RNA". It matches the Rfam family "Flavo-1 RNA". Lineage: Bacteria; Pseudomonadati; Bacteroidota; Flavobacteriia; Flavobacteriales; Flavobacteriaceae. The record is from RNAcentral.